GUGCCAGCCGCCGCGGUAAUACCGGCAGCCCGAGUGAUGGCCGAUAUUAUUGGGCCUAAAGCGUUCGUAGCCGGCCAGACAAGUCUGUUGGGAAAUCCACGCGCUCAACGCGUGGGCGUCCAGCGGAAACUGUGUGGCUUGGGGCCGGAGGAAUCGAGGGGUACGUCCGGGGUAGGAGUGAAAUCCCGUAAUCCUGGACGGACCACCGGUGGCGAAAGCGCCUCGAGAGGACGUACCCGACAGUGAGGAACGAAAGCCAGGGUCUCGAGCCGGAUUAGAAACCCUAGUAGUCC
This 293-nucleotide ribosomal RNA is filed under the name uncultured bacterium. RNAcentral's name for it is "partial 16S ribosomal RNA". It matches the Rfam family "Archaeal small subunit ribosomal RNA", at positions 455 to 747 of the family's 1478-position model. The record is from RNAcentral.